GGGAGGGACCUGGUGGAAGGUAAUUGAAUCAUAGGGACAGUUUUCUGCCACGCGGUUUCUCCAUAGUGAGUGUGUUAUCAUGAGAUAUGAUAGUUUAAAAGUGUGUGGCAGUUCCCCCAUCUUGCUCUCUCUCCCGCCACCAGAUUUGAAAAACCUAUGGAAAGAGAGCAAACAACUGGCCCAAAAUCUAAGGAGAGAAAAUAUCUCCAGGGAGAAAGGAGAUUUGCACCCAUGAUCAUCUGAAGGUCUGAGCAGAGAGACAGAAGCCAGCACAGCUGCAGGAGAGAUGAAAUGAGGUUCUAAGCCACCUUACAGCUUGUAUUGGCCCCACAAGUCUUUUUGUUCAUUGGUUACGUGAGUCAAAUUUGUAUCCCUAAAUCCAGAAUAUGCUGCCUCCAGAACCCAAAGAAGCCUGAGAAGCAUGGUGAUUACUACUUAGUGGUGGAAAGAAUGAGUUAUACACAAGAUGAAUGGAUUAACCACUGGAAGACCUGUACUAUUACAAAUGUUAAAGAAAGUCUUUCCAAGAAAGAAAAAAGGCAACUUAAUGGAAACUUGUGUCUACCAAAUCGAAAGAAGAGCAAUGGGAAUCCUAACUAUAUGCCUUACAUCCAAUGAAUGAAUGAAGAAACAAAUGAAUGAAGAAACCAUAAAUAAGUAAAUAAUUUUUAAAAACCAAAUAGGAUAGAAGAGGAAUCAUGAGCUGACAUUCAAUGUAUUGUACAAGGUACAUAAUUGUUUCAACCAAUUUGAGUGUAACUCAUAAUACUUUAUACAUUUUAAAGAAAAAAUAUUUUUAUAUUCUGGUCACAGUAUAUGAUCAUUUUGGGAAAAAUAAGUGCGAAAGCACUUUAAAAAUACUAGUGGAUUAAAUUUUGUAAAAGUUCACAAAAGGAGCACUGUGUGACAUGGAAAUUAUAUCUGCUCAAGGACUUAGAGUGCAAAAGCAACUUGGCUAAUGCUGAAAGGAAUGAUGCUCUGGGGAAAAAAAGGAUUCUAAUAAAAAUGGAAAUGAUGACUUACUACAUUCCUACGCUUCUUCAGGCUACUGAUCAUCCUGCCAUUGUAUGCACCAUCACUUUGCCAUUUAUCAUUGCAGGGUAGACUGAAGAACACUUUUGCAGCUGACUAACAACUCUUGAUAUUGAGAAAGUUAUAAGAAUUAUUUGCAAAUCUCCUGUCAGAUUUGCAAAGGAUGCUGGCAUUUCUCCAUGAGGCAGGAGUGUGAGAAAAAAAGUUGAAUGUGGUGAUGGGGAAAACACUGAAGUUCAAAAGAAGCGAAGACAGGAAGCUACUCAUGGAAGCAGCUUUUCUCAUAAAUCAAGAAAUGCUACAGAUUAUAAAUGAGAUGAGACUGUCAAGAUGAGACCUAACAGGAGUGUGAAGACCAAAAAUUUAAAAGACAUGGUUAUAUGCUUUGAGUAAACUCUAUAUAUAGGACAGUGUUAUUGUUUGGUUCUGUGUUCCCCACUCAAAUCUCACCUCAAAUUAUAAUCCCCAUGUGUCAAGGGCAGGACCAGGUGGAGGUAAUUGGAUCAUGGGGGAAGUUUUCCUCAUGCUUUUCUCACAGUGAGUGAGUUCUCAUGAGAUCUGAUUUUUUUAUAAGCAUAUGGCAUUUCCCCUCCUAGCAUUUUGCCUCCUGCUGCCUUGCAAAGAAGGCACUUGCUUCCCCUUUGCCUUCCGCCAUAUCUGUAAGUUCCCUGAGUCCUCUCCAGCCAUGUGGAACUGUGGGUUAAUUAAAUCUCUUUCCUUAUAAAUUACCCAGUCUUGGGCAGUUCUUUAUAGCAGUGUGAAACUGGACUAAAAUAGAAAAUUGGUACCAGGAGAGUGAGGCACUGCUGUAAAGACACCGCUGUAAAGACACCUGAAAAUGGAAGCAACUUUGGAACUAGCUAAUGGGCAGAGGUUGGAACCAUUUUCAGGGUUCAGAAGAAGACAUGAAGAUGUGGGAAAGUUUGGAAAUUCCUGGAGACUUGUUGAAUGCUUUGACGAAAAUGCUGAUAGUGAUAUGGACAAUAAAUUUCAGGCUGAGAUGCUCUCAGAUACAGAUAAAGAACUUGUUGGGAACUGGAAUAAAGGUGACUAUUGCUAUAUAUGCUUUAGCAAAGAGACUGGUGGCAUUUUGCCCCUGUCCUAGAGACCUGUAGAGCUUUGAACAUGAGAGAGAUGAUUUAGAAUAUCUGGUGGAAGAAAUUUAUAUGCAGCAAAGUGUUCAAGAAGUGACUCGGGUGCUCUUAAAACCAUUCAGUUGUAUGCAUUCACAAAGAUAUGGUUUGGAAUUGGAACUUACAUUUAAAAGGGAAACAGAGAAUAAGAGUUCAGAAAAUUUGCAGCCUGAUGAUGCAAUAGAAAAGAACAAUCUCAUUUUCUGGGGAGAAAUUCAAGACUGCUGCAGAAAUUUGCGUAAGUAACAAGGAGACAAGUGUUAGUCACCAAGACAAUGGAGAAUAUGUCCGCAGUCCAUGUCAGAUGUCUUCACUGCAAGCCCUCCAAUCACAGGCCUGAAAGACUAGGAGAGAAAAAAAUAAUUUUGUGGGCCACGCCCAGGGACUUGCUGCUUUGUGCAGUCUCUGAACUUGGUGCCCUGCAUCCCAGCUGUGUCUAAUAGUGGCCAACAUACAGCUCAGGCCAUUGAUUUAGAGGGUGAAAGCCCCAAGCCAUGGUGUCUUACAUGUGGUUUUGGGCCUGCAGAUGCACAGAUGUCAAGAAUUGAGGUUUGAGAACCUCCACCUAGAUUUCAGAGGAUGUAUGAAAACUCUUGGAUGUCCAGGCAGAAGAGUACUACAGGGGCAGAGCUCUCCAUGGAGAACCUCUGUUAGGGCAGUGCAGAGUCCCCACUGGGGCGCUGACUAGUGGAACUGUGAGAAGAAGGCCACCAACCUCCAGACCCCAGAAUGGUAGAUCCACCAACAUCUUGCAUCGUACACCUAGAAAAGUCACAGAUGCUCAACGACAUCUCAUGAAGGCAGCCAGGAGAGGGGCUGUAUCCUGUAAAGCCACAGGGGCAGAGCUGCCCAACGCUGUGGUAUCCCACCUCCUACAUCAGUGUGAUUCGAUGUGAGACAUGUAGUCAAGUGAGGUCAUUUUGGAACUUUUAAGACUUAAUGACUGCUUUAUUGUAUUUUGGACUUGCAUGAGGCUUGUAGCCCCUUUGUUUUAGCCAAUUUAUCUUAUUUGGAAUGGGACUAUCUAUCCAAAGCCUGUACCCCAUUGUAUCUGGGAAGUAACUGACUUGCUUUGGAUUUUACAAGCUCAUAGGCAGAAGGGACUUCCCUUGUCUCAGAUGAGACUUUGGACUGUGGCCUUUUGAGUUAAUGUUAAAAUGAGUUAAGACUUUGAGGAACUGUUGGGAAGGCAUGAUUAGUUUUGAAAUGUAAAAAGACAUGAGAUUUGGGAGGGGCCAAGGACAGAAUAAUACGGUUUGGCUCUGUGUCGCCUUCCAAAUUUCACCUUUAAUUGUAAUCGCCAUAACCCCCACAUGUCAAUGGUGGAAACAGGUAGAGGUAAUUGGAUCAUGGAGGCAGUUUCUUCUAUGCUGUUAUUCAUGACAGUGAAUGAGUUUUCAUGAGAUCUGAUGGUUUUAUAAGCAUCUGGCAUUUCUUCUGCUUGCACUUCUCAUUCCUGCCACCUUGUGAAGAAGGUGAUUUUCUUCCCAUUUGCGUUCAACCAUUAUUAUAAGUUUCCAGAGGCAAACCCAGCCACGCAGAAGUGUGAGUCAAUUAAACCUCUUUUUUUAAUAAAUUACCAGUCUCAAACAGUUCUUUAUAGCAGUAUGAAGACAGACUAAUACAGAAAGAUAUAGCUGUUUUGGAAACAUCAGAAGUACAGUUGUAGCAAUAAAUAAAAUAUGAAUAGAUUAACUUUUGUACACCUAUUUGUGUUGAAAGCACCAGGAGUCAUAGCCAACCAUCACUUUAACAUUUCUCCAGCUAAUUCUUCUGAUUUAUUUUUAUGUUGGGUUAGCUAGUGACUACCCCACUAGCUAAAAAAUAUUUUUAAAAGUAUGUAUGUUAAUAUAUCUUGACUACUUUUUAAUUUUCCAAUUAAAAAAUAAAUCACAUUUUAA
Molecule: long non-coding RNA, 4066 nt
Organism: Pongo pygmaeus (Bornean orangutan)
Lineage: Eukaryota; Metazoa; Chordata; Mammalia; Primates; Hominidae
Exons: 6
Source: RefSeq, a predicted model, not a curated record